GAUGAAGAACGCAGCGAAAUGCGAUAAGUAAUGUGAAUUGCAGAAUUCAGUGAAUCAUCGAAUUUUUGAACGCAUAUUGCGCUCUCUGGUAUUCCGGAGAGCAUGCUUGUUUGAGUAUCAGUAAACACCUCAACUUCCAUAUCUUUUUUGAAAUGGGAGUUGGACUUGAGUGAUCCCAACGCUUUUCCUCACCGAAAAGUGGCGGGUUACUUGAAAUGCAGGUGCAGCUGGACUUUUCUCUGAGCUAUAAGCAUAUCUAUUUAGUCUGCCUAAAAAACAGAUUAUUACCUUUGCUGCAGCUAACAUAAAGGAGAUUAGUUCUUGUGCUGACUGAUGCAGGAUUCACAAAGACAGGCUUCGGCCGACUUUGUAAACUCGAUCUCAAAUCAAGUAAGACUACCCGCUGAACUUAAGCAUAUCAAUAAGCGGAGGA
This 433-nucleotide unclassified non-coding RNA is filed under the name soil metagenome. Its description in RNAcentral is "partial contains 5.8S ribosomal RNA, internal transcribed spacer 2, and large subunit ribosomal RNA". The stretch from base 1 to 120 matches the Rfam family "5.8S ribosomal RNA", at positions 35 to 154 of the family's 154-position model. The record is from RNAcentral.